This 428-nucleotide ribosomal RNA is filed under the name uncultured prokaryote. Its description in RNAcentral is "bacterial SSU rRNA". It matches the Rfam family "Bacterial small subunit ribosomal RNA", at positions 355 to 774 of the family's 1533-position model. The record is from RNAcentral.
UGGGGAAUAUUGCGCAAUGGGCGAAAGCCUGACGCAGCGACGCCGCGUGAGGGAAGAAGGCCUUCGGGUCGUAAACCUCUGUCUAGAGGGAAGAAACCAUUGAGGUCGAACAGGCCUCUUUGCUGACGGUACCUCUGAAGGAAGCACCGGCUAACUCCGUGCCAGCAGCCGCGGUAAUACGGAGGGUGCGAGCGUUAAUCGGAAUCACUGGGCGUAAAGCGCACGUAGGCGGUGUCGUACGUCGGAUGUGAAAGCCCGCGGCUCAACCGGGGAACGGCAGUCGAUACUGCGAUGCUUGAGUGCCGGAGAGGGUGGCGGAAUUCCAGGUGUAGGAGUGAAAUCCGUAGAUAUCUGGAGGAACACCAGUGGCGAAGGCGGCCACCUGGCCGGCAACUGACGCUGAGGGACGAAAGCGUGGGGAUCAAACA